Molecule: long non-coding RNA, 1037 nt
Filed under: Crocodylus porosus (Australian saltwater crocodile)
Lineage: Eukaryota; Metazoa; Chordata; Crocodylia; Crocodylidae
Description: lncRNA (ENSCPRG00005010245.1)
Source: RNAcentral
GAAGGAAGUCAAUAUAUUUUGGGGGGAGGGAGUACAGUAAAGAACAGCGGCAAAUUCAAGCUGUGUAAAGUUGAUCUAGUAUUGUAAUCAUUAAUCUAAAUUUUUCAUAGAUUUUAACUUUUCUUCAACCUUGCACUCACCUGUUCAACUGCCACAUGCAAGUGUAGUUUGAUAUUUUUGAUAUUGCCUUCUUAUGUAACAUUAAAUUUAAUUUCUUGGCUACCGGCAGUCCUUGUUUUCAGGGUUGGGAUAGAGGUGGUUUUGAAAGGUUUAAAUGGCUUGUGCAGUGUUAAGGAGUACCUAACCCAAGUAACACCAAUCUACUGUGUUUCUACGCUACUUCAAACUAGCUGUUUAAGAAAUAGCAAUGCUUAGAAUUAUUUGUGCAUCUUAGUCAGAAGAUGGUGUAUGAUUUAUGCACCUUUCAGAGAAAAGGCUUUAAACUAUGAAAGGGUAUAAUUAAUCUGUAUGAACAGAUAAUUAGAAAAUGCAGGUUACAAGUGGUAGAACCAGUAAAAAUAUCCAUAACAAGGCUGCCUUCUAUUCUAAAUGUUAUAUUUUGUUAUAAACACUUAGCAAAACCCAAGUGCUUGGUGCCAAGACUUUUAUUUUAGCGAAGGAGAAGCAUUUGUUGCCUUCUGCUCAGUCUGCUGCAUUCCCUUUAUUUUUCUUUUCUUUUCUUUUCCUUUUUUGGUCCAAGAAGGCCCGAUCUCUUCUUUCUGGCUUUUCCACAUAAGGAGUGUCCGGACAAAUCUACAGCUUAAACCUGUUGUCGCCUUUUGUGGUAUACGUUGUACUUGCUUUGAGUUUCCUAGUCCAACUGAAAAACCCAGAACCACUUGGCAAAGGCCACUGUGGCCACAGCGGGAGAGAUCUCCAUAAGCCACACCAUCCUGGGCUGCAAAAGCCAGAUGUGCCCCAAUCUCAUCAUCACAAGCAAGGAGGGCAAGAAGAUCGUGAUCAUGGAUGUAACCAUCCCCUUCACUGAUGCCUGGUCUCACAAGCAGGAGAAGUAUGCCCCACUAGCCAACAUCCUG